This 106-nucleotide small nuclear RNA is filed under the name Castor canadensis (American beaver). Lineage: Eukaryota; Metazoa; Chordata; Mammalia; Rodentia; Castoridae. The record is from RNAcentral.
AUGUUCACUUAAGCAGCACAUAUACUGAAAAUGCAAUGGAACAAAGAAGAUUAACAUGGCCAUGCAUGAGGAUGACAUGCAAAUUCCUGAAGUGUUACAUAUUUUU